Molecule: transfer RNA, 50 nt
Filed under: Heliconia brenneri
Lineage: Eukaryota; Viridiplantae; Streptophyta; Magnoliopsida; Zingiberales; Heliconiaceae
Description: partial tRNA-Leu
Source: RNAcentral
AAANUCCGUCGACUUUAGANAUCGUGAGGGUUCAAGUCCCUCUAUCCCCA